CCACAAAGCUGCAGACAACCAUCACAGUACUUCCAGGCAACAGGGUCAUCACCUUUGAGCUCACCUCUCUGAAGAUCUUUCUGUUGUAACUGGGCCAAGGUCAGUCUUUGAAACUGGCCCUCCUGUGGCUUGCAAGAAGAACUUCAACAUGGGAGAGUGCUUGGAAUAUGUUGAAUCUAAUUCUUUCCAUUGUACAGUUAGAGACACUGAGGCCAGGAGAGGAGAAAGGAUCAGUAUACAUUGACCAUCACUUCCAUGUCAUCAGGUAGGACGCAAAGGUGAGUACUGGUCUAGCUUCUCUGGAGAUUACAGGUAGAACUAAAAGGUACAUGGGAUAUAGGUCAGAUAAGAGGAUGAACUUCCUUGCAAGGCUCUAUGAUCAUACAACCUUAGCAUGUCCCCGCAGAAAGGAACCAGAGGAAGAUUCUAAACCAUAGGUUUGAAAACAAGUUGUAGUCACUGCAUAACUUGAAUCCUAUGCAGGGAACCCCACUCCAGCAUCAUUAUCAAAUAGCCUGUCCUGCACAGAAAUGUAGAGCUAUGGCUCUGAGUCCAUGUCCCGCAAGGCAGCACUGAUUAGCCUCUUUGGGUAUCCUUCCUAGGCGCACUGUGCCCUCUAAUUGAUCCCCUUGGGUCCCCCUCCUGCUGACCUGCCAGAUCUCUGAGAAAAACUCUUCCACUUUCUUUAGCGUCUCCCUCGAGUCCCUGCAUCUCCGCAUCCAUUGCAAGAGUCUGCGUGGACCACGGGUGGCCGGCCAGCGGGCAGGGGGCGGGGAGGGCGCAGGCAGCGCCAUGGCCAGGGCCUUGACAGCUGUGGCCAUGUGGAGACACUGGCAUGGCUCCCCCUGCAGUCUGGUACUGUGCCCGGGGAACUGCCCUUUGUCUUUAGGCCAUAAGGUACACUAAGGCGGGACAUGUCAGUCCACAGGGCCACCACCUCUGGGGCCAGUGGACUCCUGCAGUCCCCGCAGGUGGUGCUGGGAAUUGAUGACGUGAACAGUGCCAGCAGGAGGCUUUUCAUUUCUCAUCAAGUUCAUUCAAUCGCUUUCCCUCCCCGCCCCCUCUGGGCAUUGAACCUAGGACCUCUGAGUAGUGGGGCAAGUGUUCUACCACUGAGCCACACCUCUCGCCCUAGGGGACCAUUUUUCAUCACUCCUUCUUGAGGCCCAAGAGUGUCUGGGCCCCUUUCUCUGGGUAAUAUUCCAGGCAGAGAAGGAGACUAAAUUGGACAAAGUGAGCACCUAGUAUGUGCCAGGUUUUAGGUCAGGUGCUUCUCUUCUAUGUUUCCCUUUCAUCCUCAAACCCCUGAGGCAGGUGUGACGGUCCCCUUUUAUAGAUGAAUGACCCAAAGCCUACAGGGGUUGGACACUCUUUGUGUAAGGGCACCUGGAGCACACAGCUGUCCCCAAGCCUUCCCCCACCUCCACCGCCCCUACAAAGCGGGAAGACCCAGAAAGCUGCACGGGGGAAAGGGGAGUAGGAGGAACAGGCUGGGAAGAUGCAGAGAGCUGCCCCCAGCCCCGAAACUGGCAGCUCGGCCUCCUGCCCAGAGGGGUGUGGCUCUGGAGGGACCUUCUGGGAAUAGAGAGAAAUUCAUUAGCAGAUGUGCAAGUCCCCAAGUGAUUACAGAUCGAUGCUCUGAGCUCCAUCAGCAGGGGGGUUAUGUUUAUUAUCUGACUUGGCCCAAAGGCCCCCCAGUCCCACCUCUCCAUACUUCUUUCCCCUCCUCCUGAGGUGCUCAGGCCCACUCCGUCUGCCUCCUCCCAGGCCUCUCUUCAAUCCACACAGCCUAGGCCAGUUCCCAGAACAGACACACUGGGGAUGGAAGUGGUGGGGAAUGAGGGGUGGCAGGGUGCCGGGAUUACCUCCUGAACAGCAGGCUCAUUUGCUAAUCUGAGCUUUGUUCAUUUCAGGGACCAAAGAGGACUUCAUUUCCAUUUUGGGAUAGGCCAGAAGGAAAGAGAGUGGGGAACUACAGCAGUAAAGAUAAAGGAUGGAUAAUAAGAGGAACUUCCAGUUGCCAUCGAGCUUUGAUUCCUGGACUGGGGUACACAUACUGCUUGGCUAUGGGAAAAGGGCUGGAAUGGAAAUGACACAGGCUGGGCCUGUAGCCAAUGGGAACUUCCCCGUAGAAGAUGCCACUUAAAAGUGUUAUUAAACCCUCAGGACUUUUAAAGUGGAGAACAAGGUAACUAUGAACACCCUUUAAAGUGAUAUUGAGAGUUCCCAAGAGACGUCCGUGUCUUUCUCACUUCCCCCUGUCUUGGGAUGGAGACAUGUGGCUCCUGCGACAUCCCCCUCCUACCAGUUUCUUCUCU
This 2318-nucleotide long non-coding RNA is filed under the name Marmota monax (woodchuck). The record is from RNAcentral. Lineage: Eukaryota; Metazoa; Chordata; Mammalia; Rodentia; Sciuridae.